Molecule: ribosomal RNA, 699 nt
Filed under: Listeria welshimeri
Lineage: Bacteria; Bacillati; Bacillota; Bacilli; Caryophanales; Listeriaceae
Description: partial 23S ribosomal RNA
Rfam family: Bacterial large subunit ribosomal RNA
Source: RNAcentral
GAAAAGCACCCCGGAAGGGGAGUGAAACAGUUCCUGAAACCGUGUGCCUACAAGUAGUUAGAGCCCGUUAAUGGGUGAUAGCGUGCCUUUUGUAGAAUGAACCGGCGAGUUACGAUUUGUUGCAAGGUUAAGCGGAAAAAGCGGAGCCGUAGCGAAAGCGAGUCUGAAUAGGGCGCAUAAGUAACAGGUCGUAGACCCGAAACCAGGUGAUCUACCCAUGUCCAGGAUGAAGGUAAGGUAAUACUUACUGGAGGUCCGAACCCACGCACGUUGAAAAGUGCGGGGAUGAGGUGUGGGUAGCGGAGAAAUUCCAAUCGAACUUGGAGAUAGCUGGUUCUCUCCGAAAUAGCUUUAGGGCUAGCCUCGAGGUAAAGAGUCAUGGAGGUAGAGCACUGUUUGGACUAGGGGCCCUUCUCGGGUUACCGAAUUCAGAUAAACUCCGAAUGCCAUGUACUUAUACUCGGGAGUCAGACUGCGAGUGAUAAGAUCCGUAGUCGAAAGGGAAACAGCCCAGACCACCAGUUAAGGUCCCCAAAUAUAUGUUAAGUGGAAAAGGAUGUGGGGUUGCUUAGACAACCAGGAUGUUGGCUUAGAAGCAGCCACCAUUGAAAGAGUGCGUAAUAGCUCACUGGUCGAGUGACCCCGCGCCGAAAAUGUACCGGGGCUAAACAUAUUACCGAAACUGUGGAUGAACCUCUU